GUAUGCCCGAGUGGUCUAAGGGGGUGGACUUAAGAUCCACUAGACGAAAGUCUGCAUGGGUUCGAACCCCAUUG
This 74-nucleotide transfer RNA is filed under the name Strombidium inclinatum. It matches the Rfam family "tRNA", at positions 6 to 65 of the family's 71-position model. Rfam says of the family: Transfer RNA (tRNA) molecules are approximately 80 nucleotides in length. Their secondary structure includes four short double-helical elements and three loops (D, anti-codon, and T loops). Lineage: Eukaryota; Ciliophora; Spirotrichea; Strombidiidae. The record is from RNAcentral.